RNAcentral lists this unclassified non-coding RNA (426 nucleotides) under soil metagenome. RNAcentral describes it as "partial contains 5.8S ribosomal RNA, internal transcribed spacer 2, and large subunit ribosomal RNA". The stretch from base 1 to 120 matches the Rfam family "5.8S ribosomal RNA", at positions 35 to 154 of the family's 154-position model. The record is from RNAcentral.
GAUGAAGAACGUAGCGAAAUGCGAUAAGUAGUGUGAAUUGCAGAAUUCCGUGAAUCAUCGAAUCUUUGAACGCACAUUGCGCCUUCUGGUAUUCCGGAAGGCAUGCCUGUUCGAGAGUCAUUAACAACCGUUUCGAUCCCUUUCUUUCAGAAAUUACAAAGAGGAAAAGGGUUUGGUUAUGGUGGAGGAGGGAAAGGGAGCGUUUAGCCUGUAAAAAAAGGGGCUGUGUUCUGCCUCCCACACCAAAAUUGUACAGGCGGUCGUGUGCGCCCACGCAUCGAGGUGUUGUAAAAGCUGCCACGGCACUUUUCACCUGUGCAGUGCGAGAUUGGCCAGCCGGUUUAAAAACCCCUCCAAACAAUCAAAGGUUGACCUCGGAUCAGGUAGGGAUACCCGCUGAACUUAAGCAUAUCAAUAAGCGGAGGA